AACGCGAAGAACCUUACCUGGGCUUGAACUACCGAUGGUAAGCCUUUGGAAACAGAGGCUGACCCGCAAGGGAGUCGGCAGAGGUGCUGCAUGGUUGUCGUCAGCUCGUGUCGUGAGAUGUUGGGUUAAGUCCCGCAACGAGCGCAACCCCUAUCUCAUGUUGCUACUCCCGCAAGGGAGGCACUCUUGAGAAACUGCCUUCGAUAAGAAGGAGGAAGGUGGGGACGACGUCAAAUCCUCAUGGCCCUUAUGUCCAGGGCUACACACGUGCUACAAUGGCCGGUACAACGGGAAGCAAUACCGCAAGGUGGAGCAAAACCCUGAAAGCCGGCCCCAGUUCAGAUUGUGGGCUGAAACUCGCCCACAUGAAGGCGGAAUCGCUAGUAAUCGCGAAUCAGCAGGUCGCGGUGAAUACGUUCCCGGGCCUUGUACACACCGAGUAUA
This 444-nucleotide ribosomal RNA is filed under the name uncultured bacterium. RNAcentral describes it as "bacterial SSU rRNA". It matches the Rfam family "Bacterial small subunit ribosomal RNA", at positions 958 to 1398 of the family's 1533-position model. The record is from RNAcentral.